AUCCUGUGGGAUAAUGAAAUUUCUACCCAACACAGAUUUUUCUCUGCCUUUGUGCUAUAAUAACUGGAUAUUGCUUCAGGUGGGUGAAUGGUAAUAUUUUCUUGGCCUCUUUUCAUAUGAAGAUUCUUAAGAUGGUUUCUCUUUCAAGCUAGCAGAGUUCAUAGACCUGAGAAUAAAGUAACAAAGGGGAGGUACUUAUCCGAGAAGAAGAAAUUGUGUCCUCCUAGCUUUCCAGUUGGUCCUCUGCUCCAGGGAGAUAGGCUGUGGGUUAUGUUUGGGCUGUUGAUCUCUCAGCAGCAGUUGACAGGAGCAGUGACAAGAAUCUAGGGGAAGAAAGUGCCUUUGUAGUGGUGAACACUGGAAGGAAGCUUUCUGAUAAGAUUGUUUCAUGGGAACAUAAAGUCCGAACAUCACAGGAUCUCAAAUAUGCAUGAAUUGCAGCAAUUGCGAGGGGCCCGAGGAGGAAAUGACCCUCACCCCAUCAUCUUGCUCUGGCUCUCUGUGCAGCUGUCCUGUGAUUCCGCACAUCUUAACAUUUUUUAUUUUCUUUAUUUUGUUUGAUUUGUUAAUUAAAAUAAAAACAGGAAGCCAGCUUUUAUAGGCCCUAUUGGAAUUAGUGGGAAGGACAACAAAUUUUAUGUUCUGAAAAUUAUUAUCUUGGAAUGCCAGGCAUACACUUUCUGAUGUGAUUGGUUAUAAAUUAUGACUGAUAUUAGUUAACGAGCUUUGGCUGAAUAUCCGCACCAAACUAGGCUCUCCUAAUUUCCAGCUCACAUCUGCUGGCAUUUAAUUCUGUUCCAUCCUAUAUAGACAACCUCUCGUCUACAUGAGUCUCGUUUCCCAAGUCACAUUUGUGAAUCGAGACUUCUCUUGAUUUUUUCCAAAGAGUGUAGCCCAGGAAAUACAACCUAUUAUUUUAUAACUUUAAAUGAAAUACAGUCUACAAAAGUACUAAAUCACUAUGCUGUGCCCCUGAAACAAAUACCAUAUUGUAUAUCAACUCUACUUCAAUUUUAAAAAAAAAUGGAUUUGAGAUAUAAAAUCAAAAAAGCCUAAGACUGAGAAACAGAUAACCCACUCCCUACCCCCACUGCCACCACAACCCAGGAGGCCAUAAGAUGCUCCACAGACAUGUUUUUAUAGGUGGCAACAGAAUAGGGAUGUUACACUUAGAAGUUCUUUUGGAACUUCAACUUUGGAAGUGAAUUUAGAAACUGAGUCAGCUUGGUGCACUAGAGAGAAGAGUUAAAAUUCAUGAGUGCAGGAGAAACUUGGGAGAACCCUCAGAGACAGCAUAAUUAAACACAGCAGACUCCCUGGCUCUGAACAGAAAAGCUGGAGUGGCCUACAUUGCUUAAGUUGGAAGUUUUGAAAAUCUUGUCGAGGCCUAAGAGAUCAGAGAGAGUUGCUGGACUGAAAAGAUUCAUUAGUUAGGGAGAAACUGGGGUAAAAAGUGCCCAUGAACUGAAACGUAGUGGGAUUGAAAGGAAAUAAAAAGGAAUUUUUAUGAAAUGAUACUAGAAAAUUUAAGGAAUAUGAUAAAGAAGCUGCAGAUGAGAAGUGCUAUCAAAGGAGUGAUAACUGCAGGGAGACAACAUCAGAGAAGAAUAAUGUACUUCUAUAUUAGCAGGGAUUUUAAUGAGUGAGAAAAAUGUGGAACAUAAGAAAAGAAAAUCCUGCUUAACUAACACGUUAUCUUUCCUACCAGUGGCCAAGGCCAAGGUCAUAGAUGGGGAUAUGUUUUAUAAAAUCGCUGGUAUAAUGAGAUGCUGUGACGGGAAGGAGCAGUUGUGAGGUUAUGAAAGCUCUUGGACCUGUUGGCCAAUGACAAGGGGUUGACACCAUUUUCCCUGGGGUAUACAUAGUCUAAAUUAACUACUAGGGCUUUUAAAAUCUGGUCCUCCUAGAUCACUGGGCCCUGUACCAACUCUGUCUCUUUCAUGUAAUAGGAGCACAAGGCAUCUGCAUUACUGAAAAAGUAAAAAGACAUUGAGAAUGUUCUAGGUCUCCUGUGGGUUAUUCAUUCUGCCACCUAAUUCUUUUAAGCGGGAGUGGAAAUUUUAUGGCUGAUGGAAAGCUGGACUCGGUGAGCAAUUCAGGCUUGCAUACUAGGAAAAUAUAUGAUGUCUAUGUUUGUGAAGUCGUUUAUAGCGACUCCAACCCCCGUGAUUAACCACACAGAAGAAGGUCUGUUUUGCAUGCUUAAUGAAAUUGAAUUAAUCAACAUGGCUUGCUUAACGGCACUUGAGUUGGUGAAUUGAUGGAAUGUAAGAUGAAUUUGACCUUUUAAAGCUUGUGACCCUGCGCAUGUCUUCUGCGGCUCAUGAUGUUGGGGCGAGUUGCCGGUUUGCCUCGGGAAGUCGCAUAUUUCCAGUGGCUUUCCAUUCACCCAGGGGGGACCCUGAAGGCCAACGUAGUGUAUGGUCCUCUGUGGAUUUUGAGUUAGUUUAUUCGUCUUGAUGAUUAGGGACCAUCCACUUCGACAGAACAGAGUGGAAGAGAGAACAGAAGACUGGUGUUCCAAGUUUAUACUCUCUUGGCAAGCAAGCCACGGCACCCUCCUUGUGGAACCGUGGGGAGUUCCCAUGAACUCUCCUUGUAAAUUUUCUUUACCAAAAUGAUCUUUGUAAAACACAGGGUAGCAUUUCAUCCUAUUUAUUGGAGAUUUUCUCUUUCCAUGAUGCUUAAACCUUUUAUGACCAGAUACUGGGGUCUAGACCCGUCACUGAGAAGCCAUAAAUUCAGCACGCUGAAUUCUGAAAUUAGAAAUGAAAACCCAUGCAAGUACUCAUGUUAUUUUAUUUUAUGGCCUCUUUGUCCAACAUAACAUCCUGUCCUGAGUUUAUAUGCCUUCCUCACUGAGAAACACAAGCAUACUGAUACUGACCACUUUUACAGUUUCUCAUUUUAAAAUAUGCUGUCAUCCUUCACUGGAAAAUAAGGCUAUUUUUAUAACUACUGAUUUCAAAGUGUUCCCACUGCAGUCAGUGUUAUUUUAUUUGUUCUUGUGUAUUUUGUAAUACAUGGUUCAUUUUUUUUUUUUAGAACGUAAGGGAAAAAGAAAUAAAAUGGAACAUAACCUG
RNAcentral lists this long non-coding RNA (3083 nucleotides) under Sus scrofa (pig). Its description in RNAcentral is "lncRNA (ENSSSCG00000052654.1)". Lineage: Eukaryota; Metazoa; Chordata; Mammalia; Artiodactyla; Suidae. The record is from RNAcentral.